GAACUGUUCUUAAUUGUUGGGUUGUUCCCAUUUUGUGAUUGACAUAAUGGGUGUCUGCUGAUUUCACUGUUCAAUGUUGUUCAAAACCAUUCAUGUUGCUUGAUGGUGUUGCUGGAGCUAACAAUCUCACCAUCUUCCACAUCCGAGCUUGCUACUGAUAUCCUUUUUUCCCUUUAUCUUCCGCUAUUUGGGCAGUUAAAAUGGUAAUUCAAAUUUUU
RNAcentral lists this unclassified non-coding RNA (218 nucleotides) under Hevea brasiliensis (rubber tree). Lineage: Eukaryota; Viridiplantae; Streptophyta; Magnoliopsida; Malpighiales; Euphorbiaceae. The record is from RNAcentral.